GCCGGGAGCAGUGGCGCAUGCCUGUAAUCCCAGCGACUCAGGAGGCUGAGGUAGGAGGAACACAAGUUCAAAGCCAGCCUCGGCAACUUAGCAAGACUUUAAGCAACUCAGUGAGACCCUGUCUCUA
RNAcentral lists this small RNA (127 nucleotides) under Marmota monax (woodchuck). Lineage: Eukaryota; Metazoa; Chordata; Mammalia; Rodentia; Sciuridae. The record is from RNAcentral.